GGGGGAGAUGGAAUUAGUGGUGUAGGGGUAAAAAUCCGUAGAUAUCACUAGGAAUACCGAAAGCGAAGGCGAUCUCCUGGAACAAUACUGACGCUAAGGCGUGAAAGCGUGGGGAGCAAACGGGAUUAGAUACCCCGGUAGUCCACGCCCUAAACGAUGUUCACUAGUCGUCGGAAUGCUAGUCAUUUCGGUGAUGCACUUAACAGAUUAAGUGUACCGCCUGGGGAGUACGGUCGCAAGAUUAAAACUCAAAGGAAUAGACGGGGACCCGCACAAGUGGUGGAGCAUGUGGUUUAAUUCGAAGAUACGCGAAGAACCUUACCUAGCCUUGACAUUGAUUGAAUACCCUAGAGAUAGAGUAGUGCCCUUCGGGGAACAUGAAAACAGGUGCUGCACGGCUGUCGUCAGCUCGUGUCGUGAGAUGUUGGGUUAAGUCCCGCAACGAGCGCAACCCUCGUCCUUAGUUGCCAGCAGGUUAAGCUGGGCACUCUAAGGAGACUGCCUUCGCAAGGAGGAGGAAGGUGAGGACGACGUCAAGUCAUCAUGGCCCUUAUGGCUAGGGCUACACACGUGCUACAAUGGGGCGUACAGAGAGUUGCGAUACCGCGAGGUGGAGCCAAUCUCACAAAGCGUCUCUCAGUUCGGAUUGAAGUCUGCAACUCGACUUCAUGAAGCUGGAAUCACUAGUAAUCGUAGAUCAGCAAUGCUACGGUGAAUACGUUCCCGGGUCUUGUACUCACCGCCCGUCACACCAUGGGAGUUGAUUUCACCCGAAAUUGGGA
RNAcentral lists this ribosomal RNA (782 nucleotides) under uncultured bacterium. RNAcentral's name for it is "bacterial SSU rRNA". It matches the Rfam family "Bacterial small subunit ribosomal RNA", at positions 654 to 1432 of the family's 1533-position model. The record is from RNAcentral.